RNAcentral lists this ribosomal RNA (277 nucleotides) under uncultured prokaryote. RNAcentral describes it as "partial 16S ribosomal RNA". It matches the Rfam family "Bacterial small subunit ribosomal RNA", at positions 524 to 801 of the family's 1533-position model. The record is from RNAcentral.
UACGUAGGGGGCUAGCGUUAUCCGGAAUUAUUGGGCGUAAAGGGUGCGUAGGUGGUUUCUUAAGUCAGAGGUGAAAGGCUACGGCUCAACCGUAGUAAGCCUUUGAAACUGGGAAACUUGAGUGCAGGAGAGGAGAGUGGAAUUCCUAGUGUAGCGGUGAAAUGCGUAGAUAUUAGGAGGAACACCAGUCGCAAAGGCGGCUCUCUGGACUGUAACUGACACUGAGGCACGAAAGCGUGGGGAGCAAACAGGAUUAGAUACCCUGGUAGUCCCUGAG